AGGCGCGUAGCUCAGUUGGCUAGAGCAUCACCUUGACAUGGUGGGGGUCGUUGGUUCAAGUCCAAUCGCGCCUACCA
RNAcentral lists this transfer RNA (77 nucleotides) under Gammaproteobacteria bacterium. RNAcentral's name for it is "tRNA-Val". It matches the Rfam family "tRNA". Rfam says of the family: Transfer RNA (tRNA) molecules are approximately 80 nucleotides in length. Lineage: Bacteria; Pseudomonadati; Pseudomonadota; Gammaproteobacteria. The record is from RNAcentral.